AGAAACUUAGGCUAAAUAGACCUAAGGCCUUCAAAGCCUUCAGUAAAGGUGCAACCCCUUUAGUUUCUG
Molecule: transfer RNA, 69 nt
Filed under: Phrynobatrachus keniensis (Kenya river frog)
Lineage: Eukaryota; Metazoa; Chordata; Amphibia; Anura; Phrynobatrachidae
Description: tRNA-Trp
Rfam family: tRNA
About the family: Transfer RNA (tRNA) molecules are approximately 80 nucleotides in length.
Source: RNAcentral